RNAcentral lists this non-coding RNA (28 nucleotides) under Homo sapiens (human). The record is from RNAcentral. Lineage: Eukaryota; Metazoa; Chordata; Mammalia; Primates; Hominidae.
AAGCAAAACCCGUCCCCACAGACAUGCU